GAUAGCGAAGAGGUCACACCCGUUCCCAUUCCGAACACGGCAGUUAAGCUCUUCAGCGCCGAUGGUAGUUGGGGGUUUCCCCCUGUGAGAGUAGGACGUCGCCAAGC
RNAcentral lists this ribosomal RNA (107 nucleotides) under Bacillus sp. Soil768D1. Lineage: Bacteria; Bacillati; Bacillota; Bacilli; Caryophanales; Bacillaceae. The record is from RNAcentral.